AUUGGAAGCCAUAAUCACACCAGAUAUUCACAGGCAAAACCAAAUAUUCACACACAGAACCAGAUAUUCACACAGAAAAUCAGAUACUCACCUACUGAGCCAGGUAAUCACACAGAACACAUACAAUAGUCAAGAUAAGGAAAGAGUUACCCUCCUUCUUCACGACCGGAGAAGAUCGGCCUUCAAGCAAACAGAGAAAACCCUAGGUUGAAAACCCUAGGUAUAACCGUCAGAAAUCUUACUGUAAGUAUGGUCAGGAAUGUCGGAAAGUCACCCAAAACAUCCUCUGAGUGAGAAUCGAGCCACCGGAUGAUAGUAAAACUUUAGGUUAAACCACCAGAAACCCUAGAAGCCGAUAGGUCACCCAAAAAUCAACCCAAAAUCAUCGUAAAAUCUUCCAGAACGUUCAGGAGAAGAAGAUGCACUCAGAUAUCACAACGAAAGACUCAGAAAAGUCUCCGAGAGGUCGGAAUCUUCAUCGACCGUGAGGUCUCAGAAAUCACCCCCAAAACCUCGAAACGGACUUCAUCCAGGACAACGAAAUGCAUAGAAACAUAGUCGGAUCGUCGUCGAGGCUCUGAUACCA
RNAcentral lists this long non-coding RNA (586 nucleotides) under Nicotiana benthamiana. RNAcentral describes it as "long non-coding RNA (NBEN_LNC025404)". Lineage: Eukaryota; Viridiplantae; Streptophyta; Magnoliopsida; Solanales; Solanaceae. The record is from RNAcentral.